GGGUCCUUGAUGAAAUCUUGGUCUUGUCUCUACCGAGGUGUUGCCUGAAAUCUCUUGCACAAUAGAGAUAUGGUGAAGCCC
This 81-nucleotide small nucleolar RNA is filed under the name Carlito syrichta (Philippine tarsier). RNAcentral's name for it is "Small nucleolar RNA SNORD115 (ENSTSYG00000025809.1)". Lineage: Eukaryota; Metazoa; Chordata; Mammalia; Primates; Tarsiidae. The record is from RNAcentral.